CUUCAGCAUGGGGAGGUCAGUUGUAGUUGCUGUUCUGUGUGUCGUGGUGGUAGUGUCGGGCGCUGUUCAUGACGACACUCAAGUUUCGCAGCUGAGAGAAGAAGUCAAUAAACUGAAACGACGAGGUAUUAAAGCUGAUUUGAGGAAAAUAUCCAACCAGUUACGGGGAUUGGAAAGCAUGUUGAGGCGUGUGGAAAGAGGUGUUGCAGAACAAAAGGUUUGUCUCCGUGACCAAGGUGACUCAAUUCAAAAUAUCAUGAACCACUGCUGCGUCGGAGACAGAACUUCUGGUUCAACGGAAUCGCCCUCUGAAAACGUCAUUUCCACUACUGAAGCUCCCGACCAGCAACUGUCACCAACUGUAGUCGUCGUUGUCGGGACAACGCGCACGACGAUUGAGCUGGUGAUGACACCCUCUUCUAACUAUGGGGACCGAGAGGUCACAUGGUAUCAAGUUCGGCAUAAUACUUCCGGUUACGAUGUCGUCUACUCUGUUGUUGGUAGUCAAACGGACAUUCGUCAUUUUGUGGUGACGGGUUUGGUGCCCAACACGCAAUACACUUUUCAAGUGACUGCAUGGUACAGCGCUAACGACGGAGAGAUUGCAAACGUCACAGCAAAAACACUGCGUGGGACCGUCCCGUCAGCUCCAGUCGUCAACAUUGGUGAACUCACAAACAACUCUGUGGAGUUGCUGAUGUCCAAGCCAGCAUCUGAUGAAGACGUGGACGUCGAUUCCUAUGUUAUUGUUUAUCCACGUAUGACAAAUGAGCAUCGCUUCAACGUAAAAAUCACGCCACCUGUCACCAGAUUUUGGGUCAACAGUACGUGGCCACAGACUAUUCAGGUUCAAGCAGCAGCUGGUAGGGAGACUGGACCAGAAGUGCUUGUUCUUGCUUCUCCUUUAUCGGACCGUAAGUUGAUGAGGAAAUCAGUUUCUCGUGUGUUGCUCAUGCUCUACUUCGCCAUUACUGUGGCCGGAUGUUGUCAGACUUUAAGGGCGGGUAACUCUGACCAUACUCCAGUACCGGUGACAUUUUGAAAAACGUUUCUGUAUCCUGCCUUUGAUAUUUUUUGCUGGAUUUUUAUGAUGCACUAAUUUGACAUAUUGCUGGAGGAAAAUGAACAAACUCGAGAGCAAUACAUGUAAUGAAACAUGAUAGGACGGCCAUCUUGUCUGAGAACGUGUGGGGGACAAGUUUUCUUCUCACUGAAAAUGCAGAAUGAUUGUUUUGCUUCUUUAUUUACUUUCAAAUCCAGGUGGUUGAUGCUAAAUAAACUCAGUAUAACUCUGUGAAAACCCUUACAUAAUCAGCUACGGUAGAAAGAGGCUGAUUGUGUCUGGUGACCCUACAGCGGUGAUCUCCCUUGUCUCUCUCCAUCAUUGUCAAGAUAUUGUCACCAUACAUGGUGUAUUUAAUUUGUAACUAUACAAUGCUGAAAUGUGAACGGGGAAUAAAUCAGGAUUUAUUUCUUAAA
RNAcentral lists this unclassified non-coding RNA (1479 nucleotides) under Haliotis rufescens (red abalone). Its description in RNAcentral is "uncharacterized LOC124152307, transcript variant X3". The record is from RNAcentral. Lineage: Eukaryota; Metazoa; Mollusca; Gastropoda; Lepetellida; Haliotidae.